UGAAGUUCGUACACUACAUUACCCUAUCCUUAUAUGUCUUUCUUGAUAAAACAACCUCAAGUCUUCUGUUGGUUAUACGUUUCUUUAAACCGCACAAAUUUGGAGAAAUUGGAAGUUUGCAGUGCAUGCACAUAUUAAAUCUUUUAAUGCUGAAGCAAUUAUUUAUGGAAAGGUUUCCAUAUUGGCGCCAAGGCCUACAAUCACUUGAGGCUACAGCAUACAGUUUCUGAGAAGAAGAGUUUAUGAGGCUAAAGGCUGGAUAUGUUUAUCUUAGUCAAGGAAUACUGCAGCGUGUUGUAUUAGUUGUUUGGUGCGGAUAAAGGAGGCGUACAAUUGCAUACAACAUGACAAGUAGUAAAGCACACUCUUAUUUUCCCAAAGGAAGUGGAUUGUGGUUAUCUUUAUCUUAGAUAUUCUAAUAUUUUCAAACCAUUUUUUUUUAAAAGUAUUUUCAACGAUUAUCAGCUUACCACGGAGUAGCUAGUAAAGAAGUGAACGGGAAAGCUCAAUGAAAGAUGAGAAAGAAGUUUCAUAAGGUUUGAACAAUAAUGUUGCCAACAAGAACAAAAAAAUAAGAAUUGAAUGGAAUACAUUGAUAAUUAGGCAAUUUCAAGCUUACUUGAAUUUUCAAAAAUCAGAGUGAGAAAAGACAGGCAUUUAUAGGAUGCCCACAACUCUAGGCAUUGUGAGAGAGAGUGAGUAGCAAAAGCUUAGUUUAUUUAUUUUUUAACUCUAUUUCCCUCUAAGAAGAGAUAUUUAUAGCAUUACAAGACUCAUACAAACCUAUAAAAUACCUAUUAAUUAUCUACUACCUAAUAUUAACUUAUAAUUUACUCAAUAUAUUUAUUACCUAGCGCUACAUUCUUACUCUCAAAAUAUAGGAAAUGGAAGAAAAAACUGUGAAAUUUCGAGAUCUAAGUUGACUAGGGAUUUGUUUGGGUGGACUUGUGCGGAGUGGGCAAAUUUGGGUAGAUUUAGUUGGAGGCGGGCAGAUCAUGUUAGAGGCAGAUGGAUCAAUGGCUAGUGUGGCUAAAUCAUGUUUGUGUCGUGUGGGUAGAUCUAGGGUUCAAAGUUUUGGUAGAUGCGUAUCUAGGAUGUGAUGUUGGAUCUAAUGAUCAUGAAUGUAACUGUUGAGGCAAAUAUGACUCGUAUUCUUAAAAGUUUAAACCAUACUGAAAUUUAAAUUUUCAAAAUUUCCCACGUAAGUUCAUGAAAUUAAAAGAUAACUCAUAUUCUUACAAAUUAAAAUUAUACUGUGUAAAAGUUAAAAUUCUAAGUAAAUAUUUCUAAAUUGAUGCCUUCAUCAUGCUCCUUCUAACUGAUCCAGUUAUCUUCUUACUUUGUGAUGUGGACAUCGAUUAGAGAUUCAAGCAUGUGUAUCGCCGGAGACAGCACCGAUCGACGGCUACGAUUCAGAGCCUUUAAUUUUUGAUGUAUUUUAUGUUUUAUUUAGUUAGCAUUUUUAUUUCCUAGUUUACCCCCAUGGGGAGUGUUGUCUUAUUGUAGCCCAAAGGGCAUUUGAGUACUUUUAUUUCCUUAUGUUUGAAGACCUAUUUAUAGGGUUCUCAUGCUUUGUAAUAGACUAAUGAAUAUGAUGAAUGAAAAUUU
Dendrobium catenatum is the source of this 1608-nucleotide long non-coding RNA. RefSeq lists it as uncharacterized. NCBI's taxonomy places the organism in Eukaryota, Viridiplantae, Streptophyta, Magnoliopsida, Asparagales, Orchidaceae. The record is from RefSeq and is a predicted model, not a curated record. The transcript is spliced from 2 exons.